RNAcentral lists this ribosomal RNA (337 nucleotides) under uncultured bacterium. Its description in RNAcentral is "bacterial SSU rRNA". It matches the Rfam family "Bacterial small subunit ribosomal RNA", at positions 28 to 337 of the family's 1533-position model. The record is from RNAcentral.
GACGAACGCUGGCGGCGUGCCUAAUACAUGCAAGUCGAACGGUCUUUUCUAUGGAAGCUUGCUUCCGCUGAGAAGAUAGUGGCGAACGGGUGAGUAACACGUGGGUAACCUGCCCAUAAGAGGGGGAUAACAUCCGGAAACGGGUGCUAAUACCGCAUAGGUUUCUUGGUCGCAUGAUCGAGAAAGGAAGACGGCCUUUGCGCUGUCGCUUAUGGGAUGGGACCCGCGGCGGUAUUAGGUUAGUUGGGUGAGGUAACGGGCUCACCGAAGACGAUGAUACGUAGCCGACCGUGAGAGGGUGAACGGCCACACUGGAACUGAGACACGGGUCCAGACU